Molecule: ribosomal RNA, 293 nt
Filed under: uncultured bacterium
Lineage: Bacteria
Description: partial 16S ribosomal RNA
Rfam family: Archaeal small subunit ribosomal RNA
Source: RNAcentral
GUGCCAGCAGCCGCGGUAAUACCGGCAGCCCGAGUGAUGGCCGAUCUUAUUGGGCCUAAAGCGUCCGUAGCUGGCUGCGCAAGUCCGUCGGGAAAUCCACUCGCCCAACGAGUGGGCGUCCGGCGGAAACCACUCGGCUUGGGGCCGGAAGACUCGAGGGGUACGUCCGGGGUAGGAGUGAAAUCCCGUAAUCCUGGACGGACCGCCGAUGGCGAAAGCACGUCGCGAAGACGGAUCCGACAGUGAGGGACGAAAGCUAGGGUCUCGAACCGGAUUAGAUACCCGUGUAGUCC